Molecule: long non-coding RNA, 644 nt
Filed under: Homo sapiens (human)
Lineage: Eukaryota; Metazoa; Chordata; Mammalia; Primates; Hominidae
Description: HSALNT0104057
Source: RNAcentral
GGUUAGCCCGGGGAGGGCCACAUCCCUGCCGCCCCAGUCACCGCCCUUCUUGAGCCGGGAAUCCCGCCCACGCCGCGCCACGCUCCGCCCCCGGGGCACCCUGGCGUAAGGGUGAUUGCCACAUCUCGGAUUCGCCGCGGGGCAACUACCUGGGAAAACCGCAGACUGGGCAAUGAAAGACUACAUCCGGCAACCGGAUGCUGGGUUCUGUGACUCCAGGAAAAGGGGCUCCUGGGCCCAGGGAGGGAUACACUCAAGACUGCAGACAGACAUACUAGGCGAUCUCGACAGUCGCUCCGUGACAGCCCACCAACCCCCAACCCUCUACCUCGCAGCCACCCUAAAGGCGACUUCAAGAAGAUGGAAGGAUCUCACGGAUCUCAUUCCUAAUGGUCCGCCGAAGUCUCACACAGUAGACAGACGGAGUUGAGAUGCUGGAGGAUGCAGUCACCUCCUAAACUUACGACCCACCACCAGACUUCAUCCCAGCCGGGACGUCCUCCCCCACCCGAGUCCUCCCCAUUUCUUCUCCUACUUUGCCGCAGUUCCAGGUGUCCUGCUUCCACCAGUCCCACAAAGCUCAAUAAAUACCAAGAGACCUGCAUUUACAGCAGGGGGAACAUCUCACACCCUUGCAUAAGUUA